Molecule: long non-coding RNA, 330 nt
Filed under: Homo sapiens (human)
Lineage: Eukaryota; Metazoa; Chordata; Mammalia; Primates; Hominidae
Description: HSALNT0305763
Source: RNAcentral
UGCCAUUCUCCAGUCUCAGCCUCCCAAGUAGUUGGAAUUACAGCAGCUUCCAAUCUUCAGAUUCAAACUGAGACAUCAGCUUUGCACAUUUUGGACUUGGCCUGCCUCCAUAAUUGUGCAAGCCAAUUCCUCGGUCAUCAUAAGGACUGCUGCUCAGAUAAACUUUAGUGGAAUGCAUUAAUCAUCACGCACAGCUGGCACAGGGCAGGCAUGAAGGAGGGGAGAAGGCCUUCUCAUCAUCCAGUAUCUGCUAUGUUCCAAGGCCCGUGGGCUUCUAUUCCUGUGUGGCUGGAAACUGGGGAAACCUGGCCUCUGGACGGCUCACAGUAA